Molecule: long non-coding RNA, 1196 nt
Organism: Bos taurus (domestic cattle)
Lineage: Eukaryota; Metazoa; Chordata; Mammalia; Artiodactyla; Bovidae
Source: Ensembl
GUAAGAAACAGAAGAUCGGAAUCAUGUUCACUCAGACCCAGGUGUCUGUGCUCAACGACAGACUUCAGAGGCAGGAAUCAGCCUCCAGCAGAUGCAAGAACUUUCCAAUAUCCUGAAACUUAGCUACAAAUAGGUGAAGCCCUGAUUCCAGAACCAGAAAAACAACUGACGGAGGAAAAGCGACUCUGACUCAGGGCUCAACAACCACAGAAUUCCUGGGUUUCUAUUUCUGGCAUAGGACUGCUUGGUGACCUCUUCUGGAAACCUGCCUAUACGGAGUGAACGGACCUAGGAUGUCUCACCUGGGAGCAGCCAGAGCUGGAACAGUUGGUCUUGAAGCAACCACCCUAGAAAGACUCAGAGCUGGUAUCCCCAAGCCUGGAAAAGCCAGACUUGGAACAAUCAGUUCAACAAACAUGUCAGGAAUUGCCGGGGUCCAGCCCCGGUGGAUCCAGGGAAUUCGAAGCGGGGACGGCGUCGGUGACUCAGUGGUAAAGGACCCAUCUGCCAGUGCAGGAGACACCAGUUCAAGCCCUGGGUUGGGAAGAUCCCCUGAAGAAAGAAAUGGCAACCCAGUCCAGUAUUCUUGCCUGGAAAAUCCCAUGGACAGAGGAGCCUGGCAGACUACAGGCCACGCAGUCACAAAAGAGUUGGACAGGACUUAAUAAUUAACAUACACAAGAGACAACUCUACACAUGGGCAUCACCAGAUGGUCAAUACCCAAAUCAGAUUGAUUCUAUUCUUUGCAGCUGAAGAUGGAGAAGCUCUAUACAGUCAGCAAAAACAAUACCAGGAGCUGAUUGUGGCUCAGAUCAUGAACUUCUUACUGCAAAAUUCAGACUGAAACUCCAGAAAGUAGGAAAAACCACUAGACCAUUCAGGUAUGAUCUAAAUCAAAUCCCUUAUGAUCAUACAGUGGAAAUGACAAAUAGAUUCAAGGGAUUAGAUCUGAUAGACAGAGUGCCUGAAGAACUAUGGAUGGAAGUUCGUGACAUUGUACAGGAGGCAGGGAUCAAAACCAUCCCCAAGAAGAAGAAAUCCAAAAAGGCAAAAUGGUUGUCUGAGGAGGACUUACAAAUACCUGAGAAAAGAAAUGAAAGGCAAAGAAGAAAAGAAAAGAUAUACCCACCUGAAUGCAGAGUUCCAAAAAAUAGCAAGGAGAGAUAAGAAAGCCUUUGUAAGUGACCAAUGCAAA